RNAcentral lists this long non-coding RNA (1154 nucleotides) under Mus spretus (western wild mouse). Its description in RNAcentral is "lncRNA (ENSMSPG00010005641.1)". The record is from RNAcentral. Lineage: Eukaryota; Metazoa; Chordata; Mammalia; Rodentia; Muridae.
GGGAAUUUUAAAAAGAAGCGGAAAUCAGAGGAAGCCUUGCAGUGUGUGAGCUGUACCCCAGGUGAUCCCACUGAUAUCAGGACAUCUCUGUACAUUUUUCCGGUACCACAUCUCUCAGGGGUAUCACAGACUCCGUCCAUCUAUGCAACCCAAUUCUAAAGACAUCCUGGCUUCAAAAAGCAACGGAGUGAAAGAUAGUUCAUGGAAGUGGAGGGAGAGUCUAUUGUCAACAUAGAAACAAAUGAGAACUUACCUUAACGUUCAGCACGCCCUACAAACUAGAACAUCUCUUCAUUCUCAACACACGCUACAUGCUCAGUCUUCUUAGAGCAGCAAUCCAAGUGCAGACACUGGAGAAAGGGAGGACAUGAUUGUUCUAAGAUAAGUGGAUGCCUCUCCCCUAUCUUCAGUGAACAAGCCAGCACUCCAAUAAAAAGCAAACUUAUCUAAAAUAGUGGCUCUCAACCUUGCUAAUACUGUGACCCUUGAUGCAGUGUUGUGAUUAUCUCCAAGUAUAAAGUUAUAUUCAUUGCUACUUCAGAACUGCAAUUUUUGCCACUGUUUUGACACGUAAUAUAAAUAUCUGAUAUGCAGAUGGUCUUAGGAGAUCCCAGUGAAAGGAUUGUUCAACAUCCCCCCCUUCCCCCCGCCCCACACACACACAAGAGAGGCCAUGACCCACAGGCUGAGAACCACUGAUCUAAAGCUGACACAGGACAGGACUGUCAGAUUCUUAUGAAAACCAACUCAAGCUUACUGACUGACUUCAGCAUAUUAAAGACAUCAUCAAGUCCUCCUUUUUGUAUUAGGCUAUUUAACUAUAGUUAUGCCAUCUCCUGAUAGUAGUCUAUGAAUACUUUAGGUGUUAAGCCUAUCUUGGGUAAAACUGGUCUUUGAUCACUUAGACCAGCCCUAAAUUCCCAUAUACAAUGAUGACCCUGAGCUAAAUGUCAACUACCUGGCCAUUCAACUACUAUCUCUCAGCUUCUGUACAAUUCUUGCUUGCUGUGGAUUUCCAGAGCUGCCUUUUCUGUAUGUGGCACAAUUGUAAGUUUUACCCUUAAAAACUGGAAACAACUAGAGGUCAAGGCUGUUUGCCACAACAAUCUGCUUGGGACAGUCCCAUUGGUAGUUAAUAAAGACUCCAUUCUACU